This 1295-nucleotide long non-coding RNA is filed under the name Parus major (Great Tit). RNAcentral describes it as "lncRNA (ENSPMJG00000008854.1)". Lineage: Eukaryota; Metazoa; Chordata; Aves; Passeriformes; Paridae. The record is from RNAcentral.
GUUUUCAGCAGACAGUUGGAAGUAAAGCUCAUGACACCAUUGCUUCUCCUACCUCAUCUGAGGGUAAUCAAUUGAUUUAAAUUAAUUAUAUAUUAUUUAAAUAAUUAUUAUAUUAUUUAAAUAAUAAAUUAAUUCAAUCCAGAUAAUUUUUUAAAUCCAUUUCCUAGCACAGUUCCGUGACUGGCUGUGCUGCCUGGAUGGAGGAGGAGCAAUGGGAAGAGGGGAUGGCCUUUUUCUCCCAGUGUCACCAGCGAUGCUGGGUUGAGUGACCCAGGCACCAGUGGUCUCCAGCCAGAGGGGGCCCCUGGGGACCUUUUUGGCAGUGGGAAGUGUUCUGCAGCUGAUCCAUGAAAUGACAAGUAGACAAACACAGACUCUUCCCAGGUGGAAAGAAGCUGAUGCUCUGAUUAUUUUCAUUCAGAAGUCUAUGAAGAGAUACAGCAGUGGAAAUACCAAAGACCUGGCUGUACAACAAUCAGUUUCAGUAAAAUCUUCUGUAUAAGAAGGGAUAAAGUACUGCAUCCAGGAUCAAGUAAAAUAGCAUUGCUAAAUAGGAGAGGGACAAAAUCACUAUGACUGAUAAUCUGCUGAAAUCUAGAAGAAUACACAAUAUCCUCUGGGCUUCUACUUCAAUGAAAAGAAAUGCAUUUGAGGGUUUGGGGUUUUCUGGCUGAUUUUUUUUUCUUUUUAAUUUAAAAAAAAUAUUUAAUUUUUUAAAAGCACUGUUAGUUAGCUUAAUCUGGUGGUUAUUCCCCUGCCCCUCCCACAGCCCCAUUUCUCCCAUUGCAAUAGAGAUUUUUUUAAAAUUAUUUUUUUUAAUGGGAUUUGGUUGAGUAAGUGCAAAUAACUUCAUUCCUUUUGUGUCUGACUCACUGAUGAACUGAGAUAUCUCCAAACAGUUAUUCCAGGAAAUAUUUCAGUUAAAAGAGGCUUUCUUUUUCUUGGCACAGUUCAUCACCAGAUCAAGUUUUUCAAGUCAUCUUGUCAUGUUGUCUCUAAUCCUACCAUGUAAGACUCCUGCGAGUUACUCUUCUGUAGCUCAGCAUCACCCCAAAAAGAGAUGUUUCCAAGCAGCUUUCUCGUUCAGAAAUGACAAAGUUUUCUAUCCUUACCCUCUGGCUGGAUAAUGUUGUUACGUCAAAAAUAUGCCUGAGAUUGCUUAGGGUCAGGUUUUACCUUGAAGUAUGACAGGAGCAUGGAACAGGAUCUUUCUGGGACGAGUAAUUUAUGCCAUGGUUUACUUUCUGCUGAGAGAACAGAAUAAAUUAGUCUAAUUUACAUUAGGAGAAUGUUUA